ACCCUUCGGUUCGGAAUAACUCAGGGAAACUUGAGCUAAUACCGGAUACGCCCUUUUGGGGAAAGGUUUACUGCCGAAGGAUCGGCCCGCGUCUGAUUAGCUUGUUGGUGGGGUAACGGCCUACCAAGGCGACGAUCAGUAGCUGGUCUGAGAGGAUGAUCAGCCACACUGGGACUGAGACACGGCCCAGACUCCUACGGGAGGCAGCAGUGGGGAAUAUUGGACAAUGGGCGCAAGCCUGAUCCAGCCAUGCCGCGUGAGUGAUGAAGGCCUUAGGGUUGUAAAGCUCUUUUGUCCGGGACGAUAAUGACGGUACCGGAAGAAUAAGCCCCGGCUAACUUCGUGCCAGCAGCCGCGGUAAUACGAAGGGGGCUAGCGUUGCUCGGAAUCACUGGGCGUAAAGGGCGCGUAGGCGGCCGAUUAAGUCGGGGGUGAAAGCCUGUGGCUCAACCACAGAAUUGCCUUCGAUACUGGUUGGCUUGAGACCGGAAGAGGACAGCGGAACUGCGAGU
RNAcentral lists this ribosomal RNA (512 nucleotides) under uncultured bacterium. RNAcentral's name for it is "bacterial SSU rRNA". It matches the Rfam family "Bacterial small subunit ribosomal RNA", at positions 128 to 674 of the family's 1533-position model. The record is from RNAcentral.